This 497-nucleotide ribosomal RNA is filed under the name uncultured bacterium. RNAcentral describes it as "partial 16S ribosomal RNA". It matches the Rfam family "Bacterial small subunit ribosomal RNA", at positions 28 to 507 of the family's 1533-position model. The record is from RNAcentral.
GAUGAACGCUGGCGGCGUGCCUAAUACAUGCAAGUCGAGCGAACGGACGAGAAGCUUGCUUCUCUGAUGUUAGCGGCGGACGGGUGAGUAACACGUGGAUAACCUACCUAUAAGACUGGGAUAACUUCGGGAAACCGGAGCUAAUACCGGAUGAUAUUUUGAACCGCAUGGUUCAAAAGUGAAAGACGGUCUUGCUGUCACUUAUAGAUGGAUCCGCGCUGCAUUAGCUAGUUGGUAAGGUAACGGCUUACCAAGGCAACGAUGCAUAGCCGACCUGAGAGGGUGAUCGGCCACAUUGGGACUGAGACACGGCCCAAACUCCUACGGGAGGCAGCAGUAGGGAAUCUUCCGCAAUGGACGCAAGUCUGACGGAGCAACGCCGCGUGAGUGAAGAAGGUCUUCGGAUCGUAAAGCUCUGUUGUUAGAGAAGAACAGCGCAUAGAGUAACUGCUAUGCGUGUGACGGUAGCUAAACAGAAAGCCACGGCUAACUACGUG